RNAcentral lists this ribosomal RNA (479 nucleotides) under uncultured bacterium. RNAcentral's name for it is "bacterial SSU rRNA". It matches the Rfam family "Bacterial small subunit ribosomal RNA", at positions 28 to 471 of the family's 1533-position model. The record is from RNAcentral.
GACGAACGCUGGCGGCGUGCCUAAUACAUGCAAGUCGAACGCACUCUCGUUUAGAUUGAAGGAGCUUGCUCCUGAUUGAUAAACAUUUGAGUGAGUGGCGGACGGGUGAGUAACACGUGGGUAACCUGCCCUAAAGUGGGGGAUAACAUUUGGAAACAGAUGCUAAUACCGCAUAAAACCUAACACCGCAUGGUGUAGGGUUGAAAGAUGGUUUCGGCUAUCACUUUAGGAUGGACCCGCGGUGCAUUAGUUAGUUGGUGAGGUAAAGGCUCACCAAGACCGUGAUGCAUAGCCGACCUGAGAGGGUAAUCGGCCACACUGGGACUGAGACACGGCCCAGACUCCUACGGGAGGCAGCAGUAGGGAAUCUUCCACAAUGGACGAAAGUCUGAUGGAGCAACGCCGCGUGAGUGAAGAAGGUUUUCGGAUCGUAAAACUCUGUUGUUGGAGAAGAAUGUAUCUGAUAGUAACUGAUCAGG